UUGAUGCAGCCACAGGUACAGGGCAAAGGUAAAAAUUUCAACGGGUUAGGAUCUUCCAGGGGAAGUCCUGCAUUAAAGUAAAUGCGGGCAUUCUGCUUCCGUUCUGUUAGGUGCCUGCCAUCUACUGUCACUGAAGGUCACGGGCCUGAAGCGCAGUCCAAUGGGAGGCGUUGUUGUAGGAAUGUCCACGCGGGCCGGCAGACGUUAGGUGGUGGGCUUUACCUAUCUCCGACCCGCCAUCUUUCCACGUCCUGGAAUCUGUCCAGCGUUUCCACUUUCCUCGGGAGCCCAGGGAGUCUCUGUCUUGUCCUCUAGCAUCGUCGACACGUUGCUGCGGGAGCCAGAGUGAGGGUGCGGAUGUCCAGGAAGCAGGAAAUGGGCACUGCAUGACCAAACCUGAGUUGAUCUUCAAGUUGGAGCAUGGAUUUGGGCCAUGGAGUGUAGCAGAAGACUCAGUCCAAAGCCUCCCAGAUGUCCAAAAAUUGACUACCUGGAUUGAGACCAACCAGUAAAAUCACAAGAGACAUUUGGAGCAAGUUAGAAUCAUCAACAGCAAGACAUUCAAGGAAGACAUUGUUGAAGUCCAACUAAAAGUGGGACAGAAAAUUCACCAGCCGACACAAUCCUAUGAAGGAUGUAUGAAGAUGUACCAGAAGUCACACCACAUGAGAAGUCAUAUUCCUCACACAUGUAAGAAAGAUUUCAAUUAUAAAUCAGCUCUCAGCAAAUAUCAGAGGCUUCACAGAAAGGAGGUAACCUUUGUGUGUAAAGAAUACAGAAAUAUUUUCUUGUGGAGGUCAUGCCUAACUGUACAUCAGAGAACUCAUACCAGUGAGAAGGCCUGUGAAUGUAAACUGUGCAGUAAAGUGUUUUACAGCAACUCCUAUCUCACUGUGCACCAGAGAAGGCAUGCAGGCAAGAAUUUCUAUGCCUGUAUAGAAUGUGGGAAAAGAUACUACUGCUCACUCAACAUCAGAUAACUCAUACAGAUGAAAAACCUUAUGAAUGUAAACAGUGUGGAAAAGGCUUCUAUACAACAUCUGAUCUGAAUGUGAAUCAGAGAACUCAUACAGGUGAGAAAACUUAUCGAUGUACAAAAUGCUCAAAAACUUUCUCUUGCAAGUCACACCUCACUGUUCAUGAGAGAACUCAUAAAGCUCAGAAGCCAUAUGAAUAUGCAGAGUGUAUAAAAGCCUUCUAUAGCAAGUCUGACCUUAGUGUGCAUUAGAGAACUCACACAGGUGAGAAGCCCCAUGAAUGUAAACUGUGUGGAAAAGCCUUUAAUAGGUUGUCUUGUCUCACUAUGCAUCAGAGAACUCAUACAGGUGAGAAGCCACAUGAAUGUAAACAGUGU
Molecule: long non-coding RNA, 1354 nt
Organism: Nannospalax galili (Upper Galilee mountains blind mole rat)
Lineage: Eukaryota; Metazoa; Chordata; Mammalia; Rodentia; Spalacidae
Exons: 4
Source: RefSeq, a predicted model, not a curated record